CCUACGGGUGGCAGCAGUGGGGAAUAUUGGACAAUGGGGGGAACCCUGAUCCAGCCAUGCCGCGUGUGUGAAGAAGGCCCUCGGGUUGUAAAGCACUUUCAGUGAGGAAGAACGCCUGGUGGUUAAUACCCAUCAGGAAAGACAUCACUCACAGAAGAAGCACCGGCUAACUCCGUGCCAGCAGCCGCGGUAAUACGGAGGGUGCGAGCGUUAAUCGGAAUUACUGGGCGUAAAGCGCGCGUAGGUGGCUUGAUAAGCCGGUUGUGAAAGCCCCGGGCUCAACCUGGGAACGGCAUCCGGAACUGUCAAGCUAGAGUGCAGGAGAGGAAGGUAGAAUUCCCGGUGUAGCGGUGAAAUGCGUAGAGAUCGGGCGGAAUACCAGUGGCGAAGGCGGCCUUCUGGACUGACACUGACACUGAGGUGCGAAAGCGUGGGUAGCAAACAGGAUUAGAUACCCGUGUAGUC
Molecule: ribosomal RNA, 465 nt
Filed under: Vreelandella stevensii
Lineage: Bacteria; Pseudomonadati; Pseudomonadota; Gammaproteobacteria; Oceanospirillales; Halomonadaceae
Description: partial 16S ribosomal RNA
Rfam family: Bacterial small subunit ribosomal RNA
Source: RNAcentral